This 23-nucleotide non-coding RNA is filed under the name Cricetulus griseus (Chinese hamster). The record is from RNAcentral. Lineage: Eukaryota; Metazoa; Chordata; Mammalia; Rodentia; Cricetidae.
AAUGAGGGAACGGAACUGAGGAC